Molecule: ribosomal RNA, 438 nt
Filed under: uncultured candidate division MSBL1 archaeon
Lineage: Archaea; Methanobacteriati; Methanobacteriota
Description: bacterial SSU rRNA
Rfam family: Archaeal small subunit ribosomal RNA
Source: RNAcentral
CAGAGUGAAGGCCAAGUUGACGACUUUGCCGGAUUCGCCGAGAGGUGGUGCAUGGCCGCCGUCAGCUCGUGUUGUGAAAUGUCCUGUCAAGUCAGGCAACGAGCGAGACCCUCACCCUUAGUUGCCAGCGGGUCUGUCUGGACGCCGGGCACUCUAAGGGGACCGCUGUCGAUAAGACAGAGGAGGGAGAGGGCGACGGUAGGUCCGUAUGCCCCGAAUCCCCCGGGCAACACGCGGGCUACAAUGCGCGGGACAGAGGGCUGCGACCCCGAAAGGGGAAGCCGAUCCCUAAACCUGCGCUCAGUUCGGAUCGAGGGCUGUAACCCGCCCUCGUGAAGCUGGAAUCCCUAGUAACUGCGUGUCACUAUCGCGCGGUGAAUACGUCCCUGCUCCUUGCACACACCGCCCGUCAAGCCAUCCGAGUGGGAUCUGGAUGAG